This 407-nucleotide ribosomal RNA is filed under the name uncultured bacterium. RNAcentral's name for it is "partial 16S ribosomal RNA". It matches the Rfam family "Bacterial small subunit ribosomal RNA", at positions 30 to 526 of the family's 1533-position model. The record is from RNAcentral.
AUUGAACGCUGGCGGCAGGCCUAACACAUGCAAGUCGAGCGGAGCGGAGGACGGGUGAGUAAUGCCUAGGAAUCUGACUGGUAGUGGGGGAUAACGUCCGGAAACGGGCGCUAAUACAGCAUACUAUCAGAUGAGCCUAGGUCGGAUGAGCAAGUUGGGGGGGUAAAGGCCUACCAAGGCGACGAUCCGUAACUGGUCUGAGAGGAUGAACAGUCACACUGGAACUGAGACACGGGCCAGACUCCUACGCGAGGCAGCAGUGGGGAAUAUUGGACAAUGGGCGAAAGCCUGAUCCAGCCAUGCCGCGGGUAUGAAGAAUGUCUUCGGAUUGUAAAGCUCUUUAAGUUGGGAGGCGUUACCAACAGAAUAAGCACCGGCUAACUUCGUGCCAGCAGCCGCGGUAAUAC